CAGAGAUUGGUUAACAGACACCUGAAAACAUGAAGACUGUGAUUCUUGCUCUUGUGGUGUUGCUGGUUGUCAGUCAGGGUGAAGCCUUGAGGUGUCGCUGUGGAGGUCGGACUCAAUGUCCAAGCAGCGUACAGACCUGCUCCGGUUCAAACAAAGUCUGUGCCCACAUCACGUUCCUUCAUGAUUACAGCUGGUUCAAGAGUUGUUAUGACAGAAACACCUGCUACUC
Molecule: non-coding RNA, 229 nt
Organism: Plectropomus leopardus (leopard coralgrouper)
Lineage: Eukaryota; Metazoa; Chordata; Actinopteri; Perciformes; Serranidae
Source: RefSeq, a predicted model, not a curated record